Molecule: non-coding RNA, 45 nt
Organism: Schistosoma margrebowiei
Lineage: Eukaryota; Metazoa; Platyhelminthes; Trematoda; Strigeidida; Schistosomatidae
Source: Rfam
AUCCGGCUGACGAGUCACGAAAAGGGGGAAACGCGCGUCCUGGAU